UUGAAGAGUUUGAUCAUGGCUCAGGAUGAACGCUAGCGACAGGCCUAACACAUGCAAGUCGAGGGGCAUCGGGGCGAGGAGCAAUCCUUGCCGCCGGCGACCGGCGCACGGGUGAGUAACGCGUAUGCGACCUGCCCGUUGCAGGGGGAUAAUCGGGAGAAAUCCCGUCUAAUACCGCGUAAUGCCGCGGGGCUGCAUGGCCCUGCGGCCAAAGGGAGCGAUUCCGGCAACGGAUGGGCAUGCGUGACAUUAGCUAGUUGGCGGGGCAACGGCCCACCAAGGCGACGAUGUCUAGGGGUUCUGAGAGGAAGGUCCCCCACACUGGUACUGAGACACGGACCAGACUCCUACGGGAGGCAGCAGUGAGGAAUAUUGGUCAAUGGGCGCGAGCCUGAACCAGCCAAGUCGCGUGAGGGAUGACGGCCCUACGGGUUGUAAACCUCUUUUGUCGGGGAGCAAAUUCCGUUACGUGUAACGGAGUCGAGAGUACCCGAAGAAAAAGCAUCGGCUAACUCCGUGCCAGCAGCCGCGGUAAUACGGAGGAUGCGAGCGUUAUCCGGAUUUAUUGGGUUUAAAGGGUGCGUAGGCGGACUGUCAAGUCAGCGGUAAAAUACGGGGGCUCAACCUCCGCCCGCCGUUGAAACUGACGGUCUUGAGUGGGCGAGAAGUAUGCGGAAUGCGUGGUGUAGCGGUGAAAUGCAUAGAUAUCACGCAGAACUCCGAUUGCGAAGGCAGCAUACCGGCGCCCAACUGACGCUGAAGCACGAAAGCGUGGGUAUCGAACAGGAUUAGAUACCCUGGUAGUCCACGCAGUAAACGAUGAAUACUAGCUGUCCGGGGCGAAUGAGCCCUGGGUGGCACAGCGAAAGCGUUAAGUAUUCCACCUGGGGAGUACGCCGGCAACGGUGAAACUCAAAGGAAUUGACGGGGGCCCGCACAAGCGGAGGAACAUGUGGUUUAAUUCGAUGAUACGCGAGGAACCUUACCCGGGCUCAAACGACACAGGAACGUACCUGAAAGGGUUCGGCUCUACGGAGCCUGUGUCGAGGUGCUGCAUGGUUGUCGUCAGCUCGUGCCGUGAGGUGUCGGCUUAAGUGCCAUAACGAGCGCAACCCCCAUCGACAGUUGCUAACAGGUCAGGCUGAGGACUCUGUCGAGACUGCCGGCGCAAGCUGCGAGGAAGGCGGGGAUGACGUCAAAUCAGCACGGCCCUUACGUCCGGGGCGACACACGUGUUACAAUGGCAGGUACAGCGGGAAGCCACCUGGCGACAGGGAGCGGAACCCGAAAGCCUGUCUCAGUUCGGAUUGGAGUCUGCAACCCGACUCCAUGAAGCUGGAUUCGCUAGUAAUCGCGCAUCAGCCACGGCGCGGUGAAUACGUUCCCGGGCCUUGUACACACCGCCCGUCAAGCCAUGGAAGCCGGGGGUGCCUGAAGUGCGCUGCCGCGAGGAGCGCCCUAGGGUAAAACCGGUGACUGGGGCUAAGUCGUAACAAGGUAACC
Molecule: ribosomal RNA, 1503 nt
Filed under: uncultured Bacteroidales bacterium
Lineage: Bacteria; Pseudomonadati; Bacteroidota; Bacteroidia; Bacteroidales
Description: 16S ribosomal RNA
Rfam family: Bacterial small subunit ribosomal RNA
Source: RNAcentral